GAGCAUAUAGCUUACUGGUAGAGUGCAUGCUUAGCACGCAGGUCCUGGGUUCAAUCCCCAGUACCUCCA
Molecule: transfer RNA, 69 nt
Filed under: Camelus bactrianus (Bactrian camel)
Lineage: Eukaryota; Metazoa; Chordata; Mammalia; Artiodactyla; Camelidae
Also listed under: 2 other names
Rfam family: tRNA
About the family: Transfer RNA (tRNA) molecules are approximately 80 nucleotides in length. Their secondary structure includes four short double-helical elements and three loops (D, anti-codon, and T loops).
Source: Rfam by way of RNAcentral